This 871-nucleotide long non-coding RNA is filed under the name Phoenix dactylifera (date palm). Its description in RNAcentral is "long non-coding RNA (PDAC_LNC011991)". Lineage: Eukaryota; Viridiplantae; Streptophyta; Magnoliopsida; Arecales; Arecaceae. The record is from RNAcentral.
ACACGGGAUGAAUGAAGUCGAAUCGCUUGGGACUCUUCUGCUGGAACGCGUGGAUGAGCUGGGAAGAAACAGGGGAGACGGAAGGACGCUGAUGAGAUGCCACGAUGCUUGGGAGAUCCACGGUCGGUUGGGAAGAUGAGAUUGGAGCGUUGUCUAUUCGUUGGAAGCCACGGUAGAUGGGAUGAAGAAAACUGUUGGGAGAGCUCUCCCUCUUGUGAGGAUUGCAUUAAAGGUGAAAUGCAUUGGGUGUUGCUUCACGGAUGAAAUGUUGCAUCUGGAAGGUGGAUGCAUGGGACGAGCGAACAAGAUUGCAUUUGGAUUUUCCAUGCAGGCGUGGAAUACGCGGGGGCAAUAUGAAUGAGCUGGGAUCUCCACGACGCUAAGGAUUUGUUGAGCUCGGAACGCCAGGCAUUGGGCUCAAACCCAGCGUUAUUGGGUCUUUUGAAUUACUUGCACUCAGAUACAAAUAAAACAUUAAUUUAAUCAAUUUUAUUAAUAAAGAUUAGCUCUAAUACUAAUUAAGAUAGUAUGAAAAUUUUGCUUUUGUACUCUCAUCACACCCCCCAACUAGCUUAUUGCUAGUCUCUAGCAAUUUAGUGUGAAAAUGAUAAAAUGAGGGUGCAAAAGUAUUGUUUAUUUUAUUAAUAUAUAUCAAUAUGCAUGAAUUAAAAUAAUUACUCACUUUCGUAGAGCAUUACGAUUGCACUUAGCACGUGCAACAAGCCGUUAAACCCCUAGGUUAUCCUAGUGGACGAGUGUUGUCUCGUGAGGGUUUGCAGUGAUGAUACCCACAAACAUCAUUUUAAAAGAUACUCUAAAACAUAGCAACCAUUAAUGUAAAUGUGACGUCUUAGAAUACCUAUACCCCCAC